This 288-nucleotide long non-coding RNA is filed under the name Elaeis guineensis (African oil palm). RNAcentral describes it as "long non-coding RNA (EGUI_LNC004502)". Lineage: Eukaryota; Viridiplantae; Streptophyta; Magnoliopsida; Arecales; Arecaceae. The record is from RNAcentral.
GGGUAUAUGAGUAUGGGAUUUUUAACUGUGGAAUGGAUAUAAAUAUCGGUUGACCGGACUCAUUCUCAGCCCAUUGCCAUCCCUGGGUUCGAAUAGGGGAUAUCCAAGAGGUAAAUUCUAAAUCCAUCCCAAACUUAAAUAGAUGUUAAUUUUAAAUUCCAAAAAUAUGCAAAGAUAUAUUAGUAUUUUUUUUAUAUGGAUUAUUUUGUAAUUAUAAUAAUUAAUAUGAUAUUUUGAUAAUCAUAAAUUUAUUAUUUUGAUAAAAGAAGGGGUAGAGAGAGAAGAGAA